CAACGCGCCUGGCCCGCUUUUAGUGAGUGCCGGUGCGCGUUUGCCAUCCUUCUAGAAAACGUUUCUACCUGGGCAACCGGGCCGGACUCGCGAUCUAGAUCUUUUACUUUGAAAAAAUUAGAGUGUUUAAAGCAGGCUUUUGCUGUGAAUACAUUAGCAUGGAAUAAUAAUCUAGGACUUCGGUUCUAUUUUGUUGGUUUCUAGUACUGAAGUAAUGAUUGAUAGGGAUAGUUGGGGGUGCUAGUAUUGGCCGGCCAGAGGUGAAAUUCUUGGAUUCGGUCAAGACUAACUUAUGCGAAAGCAUUCACCAAGGAUGUCUUCUUUAAUCAAGAACGAAAGUUGGGGGAUCGAAGACGAUCAGAUACCGUCGUAGUCUCAACCAUAAACUAUGCCAACUAGGGAUGGGUGAACGUUGUUUUUUUGACUUCAUCUGCACCUUAUGAGAAAUCAAAGUCUUUGGGUUCCGGGGGGAGUAUGGUCGCAAGGCUGAAACUUAAAGGAAUUGACGGAAGGGCACCACCAGGAGUGGAGCCUGCGGCUUAAUUUGACUCAACACGGGAAAACUUAC
This 568-nucleotide ribosomal RNA is filed under the name uncultured eukaryote. RNAcentral's name for it is "SSU rRNA". It matches the Rfam family "Eukaryotic small subunit ribosomal RNA", at positions 649 to 1218 of the family's 1831-position model. The record is from RNAcentral.